RNAcentral lists this ribosomal RNA (253 nucleotides) under uncultured bacterium. RNAcentral's name for it is "partial 16S ribosomal RNA". It matches the Rfam family "Bacterial small subunit ribosomal RNA", at positions 524 to 776 of the family's 1533-position model. The record is from RNAcentral.
UACGGAGGGAGCUAGCGUUGUUCGGAAUUACUGGGCGUAAAGCGCACGUAGGUGGCUUUGUAAGUUAGAGGUGAAAGCCCGGGGCUCAACUCCGGAAUUGCCUCUAAGACUGCAUCGCUAGAACGUCGGAGAGGUAAGUGGAAUUCCGAGUGUAGAGGUGAAAUUCGUAGAUAUUCGGAAGAACACCAGUGGCGAAGGCGACUUACUGGACGACUGUUGACACUGAGGUGCGAAAGCGUGGGGAGCAAACAGG